GUCUACAGCCAUGCCACCCUGAACAAGCUUGAUGUCUGAUCUCGGAAGAUAAGCAGGAUUGGGCCUGGUUAAUACUUAGAUAGGAGACCAUCUAGGAAGACCAGGUGCUGUAGGCA
Molecule: ribosomal RNA, 116 nt
Filed under: Pteropus alecto (black flying fox)
Lineage: Eukaryota; Metazoa; Chordata; Mammalia; Chiroptera; Pteropodidae
Source: RNAcentral